UCUCCUGGAAAACGGGUGGUAAUGCCGGAUGCUCCGGUUGGAUGCAUGUCCUUCCGGGAAAGAUCCGUCGGUAUGGGAUGGGGUCGCGUCCUAUCAGCUUGAUGGCGGGGUAACGGCCCACCAUGGCUUCGACGGGUAGCCGGCCUGAGAGGGCGACCGGCCACAUUGGGACUGAGAUACGGCCCAGACUCCUACGGGAGGCAGCAGUGGGGAAUAUUGCACAAUGGGCGCAAGCCUGAUGCAGCGACGCCGCGUGCGGGAUGGAGGCCUUCGGGUUGUAAACCGCUUUUGAUCGGGAGCAAGCCCUUCGGGGUGAGUGUACCUUUCGAAUAAGCACCGGCUAACUACGUGCCAGCAGCCGCGGUAAUACGUAGGGUGCAAGCGUUAUCCGGAAUUAUUGGGCGUAAAGGGCUCGUAGGCGGUUCGUCGCGUCCGGUGUGAAAGCCCAUCGCUUAACGGUGGGUCUGCGCCGGGUACGGGCGGGCUGGAGUGCGGUAGGGGAGACUGGAAUUCCCGGUGUAACGGUGGAAUGUGUAGAUAUCGGAAA
Molecule: ribosomal RNA, 547 nt
Filed under: Bifidobacterium dentium
Lineage: Bacteria; Bacillati; Actinomycetota; Actinomycetes; Bifidobacteriales; Bifidobacteriaceae
Description: bacterial SSU rRNA
Rfam family: Bacterial small subunit ribosomal RNA
Source: RNAcentral